UUCUGGCUCAGGAUGAACGCUGGCGGCGUGCCUAAUACAUGCAAGUCGAGCGAGGUAGCUUGCUACCUAGCGGCGAACGGGUGAGUAACACGUAGGUAACCUGCCUUUGAGACUGGGAUACCCGAGCGAAAGUUCGGCUAAUACCGGAUAACAACGGGGACGGCAUCGUCUCUGCUUGAAAGGUGCGUUUGCACCACUCUUAGAUGGACCUGCGGCACAUUAGCUAGUUGGUGAGAUAACAGCCCACCAAGGCAAGGAUGUGUAGCCGACCUGAGAGGGUGACCGGCCACAAUGGGACUGAGACACGGCCCAUACUCCUACGGGAGGCAGCAGUAGGGAGUUUUCGGCAAUGGGCGAAAGCCUGACCGAGCAACGCCGCGUGAAGUGAUGAAGGUCUUCGGAUUGUAAAGCUCUGUUACGAGGGACGAAUUACCGGGUCAGGAAAUGGGCCCGGCUUGACGGUACCUCGCCAGAAAGUGACGGCUAACUACGUGCCAGCAGCCGC
RNAcentral lists this ribosomal RNA (505 nucleotides) under uncultured bacterium. RNAcentral describes it as "bacterial SSU rRNA". It matches the Rfam family "Bacterial small subunit ribosomal RNA", at positions 17 to 518 of the family's 1533-position model. The record is from RNAcentral.